This 310-nucleotide ribosomal RNA is filed under the name Thermoprotei archaeon. Its description in RNAcentral is "partial 23S ribosomal RNA". It matches the Rfam family "Archaeal large subunit ribosomal RNA", at positions 2572 to 2881 of the family's 2987-position model. Lineage: Archaea; Thermoproteati; Thermoproteota; Thermoprotei. The record is from RNAcentral.
CAUCGACCCCGCGGCUUGGUACCUCGAUGUCGGCUCUUCCCAUCCUGGCCUCGAAGUAGGGGCCAAGGGUGGGGCUGCUCGCCCAUUAAAGGGGAACGUGAGCUGGGUUUAGACCGUCGUGAGACAGGUCGGACUCUAUCUAACGGGGGUGUUGGCCGCCUGAGAGGAACCCGUCCUCAGUACGAGAGGAACGGGGCGGGGGGGCCUCUGGUGAAGGGGUUGUCCGAUAGGGCAGCGCCCCGAAGCUACGCCCCUUGGGAUAAGGGCUGAAGGCAUCUAAGCCCGAAGCCCAUCUCAAAAAUAGGCGGCC